AUGGGGCGCAGCAGGCGCGAAAACUUCACACUGUGCGAAAGCACGAUGAGGGAAUCCCAAGUGCUUGCACGUAAGUGUAAGCUGUUUCUUUGUUUAAAAAGCAAGGAGAGGAAGGGCUGGGUAAGACGGGUGCCAGCCGCCGCGGUAAUACCUGCAGCUCAAGUGGUGACCGCUAUUAUUGGGCCUAAAACGUCCGUAGCCGGCUGAGUAAAUGCUUGGGUAAAUCGUGUAGCUUAACUAUACGAAUUCCGGGUAGACUGCUUAGCUUGGGACCGGGAGAAGCUAGAGGUACUCCUGGGGUAGAGGUGAAAUUCUGUAAUCCUGGGGGGACCACCAGUGGCGAAGGCGUCUAGCUAGAACGGGUCUGACGGUGAGGGACGAAACCCUGGGGCGCAAACCGGAUUAGAUACCCGGGUAGUCCAGGGCGCAAACGCUGCUUGCUUGAUGUUAGUCGGGCUCCGAGCUCGACUAGUGUCGGAGAGAAGUUGUUAAGCAAGCUGCCUGGGAAGUACGAUCGCAAGAUUGAAACUUAAAGGAAUUGGCGGGGGAGCAC
This 553-nucleotide ribosomal RNA is filed under the name uncultured euryarchaeote. Its description in RNAcentral is "bacterial SSU rRNA". It matches the Rfam family "Archaeal small subunit ribosomal RNA", at positions 325 to 879 of the family's 1478-position model. The record is from RNAcentral. Lineage: Archaea; Methanobacteriati; Methanobacteriota.